AGCCAUGCUGCGUGCGUGAUGAGGGCCUAUGGGUUGUAAGCUGCUUUUGUACGGGAAAUAAUGACCUACCUGAAGGAGAUUGACCGUACCGUACCAAUAAGGAUCGGCUAACUCCAUGCCAGCAGCCGCGGUAAUACGGAGGAUCCGGGCGUUAUCCGGAAUCAUUGGGUUUAAAGGGUCCGUAGGCGGAUCCAUAAGUCAGUGGUGAAAUCUGCCAGCUUAACUGUCGAACUGCCAUUGAUACUGUUUAACUUGAAUUACUGGGAAGUAAGUGAAAUAUGUAGUGUAGCGGUGAAAUGCUUAUAUAUUACAUGGAAUACCAAUUGCGAAGGCACGUUACUACUGGUUUAUUGACGCUGAUGGACGAAAGCGUGGGGAUCGAACACGAUUACAUACACUGGUAGUCCACGCCGUAAACGAUGGAUACUAGCUGUUGGGAGUAAUUUCAGUGGCUAAGCCAAAGUGAUAAGUAUCCCCACCUGGGGGAGUACCAACGCGAGUUUGAAACUCUCAGGAAUUGACGGG
Molecule: ribosomal RNA, 525 nt
Filed under: uncultured Flavobacteriaceae bacterium
Lineage: Bacteria; Pseudomonadati; Bacteroidota; Flavobacteriia; Flavobacteriales; Flavobacteriaceae
Description: bacterial SSU rRNA
Rfam family: Bacterial small subunit ribosomal RNA
Source: RNAcentral